This 464-nucleotide ribosomal RNA is filed under the name uncultured bacterium. RNAcentral's name for it is "bacterial SSU rRNA". It matches the Rfam family "Bacterial small subunit ribosomal RNA", at positions 917 to 1382 of the family's 1533-position model. The record is from RNAcentral.
GGGCCCGCACAAGCAGCGGAGCAUGUGGUUUAAUUCGACGCAACGCGAAGAACCUUACCUGGGCUUGACAUGUACCUGACCCCCCUGGAAACAGGGGUUCCCUUCGGGGCAGGUUCACAGGUGGUGCAUGGCUGUCGUCAGCUCGUGUCGUGAGAUGUUGGGUUAAGUCCCGCAACGAGCGCAACCCCCGUCGCAUGUUGCCAGCAUUUAGUUGGGGACUCAUGCGAGACUGCCGGUGACAAACCGGAGGAAGGUGGGGAUGACGUCAAGUCAUCAUGCCCCUUAUGUCCAGGGCUACACACGUGCUACAUUGGCGCGUACAGAGGGCUGCGAUACCGCGAGGUGGAGCGAAUCCCUUAAAGCGCGUCUCGGUUCGGAUUGCAGGCUGAAACCCGCCUGCAUGAAGGCGGAGUUGCUAGUAAUCGCGGAUCAGCAUUGCCGCGGUGAAUACGUUCCCGGGCCUU